AGGAUCUCGAGAGUGCGACUGACCAGGUGUGUGAGCCGGCAACACCGUGCAUCAUGGGAGUCCUCGUGGAGAUCAAGGGCGUGGAGGAAAGCCCUGCCCACACUCCUGCGACUGAGGGUGAGCUGUAUGCAGUCUCUGGAAAUCAUAUGGAGCAAGUUCUGGACCUUAUGGACUGGUCUAUGGAGGUAAUCCCUAAUUUUCCUGUUUUUCCGCUGGUUCCUUCCAUCCCUGAUCCCCCUGUAUACCCUCUCAGUCUCCCACUCCUACCUCCUCCAGUCAGUUCCUAUGCUCCAUUUCCGCUGGUUCUGCCCAGCCCUGAUCCUCCUAUCCUUCCUCCCAUCCUUCCUCUCUCUCCUCCUCCUAGACCAGCCAGUUCCUCGUCAUCCCUGCUGGUGCCAGUCAGUCCCGCAGCUCACCCUCAGUCCGCGCCAUCUGGGCGCGAUGGUUCGCCGCUGGACUGCCAGUCUCCAGCUCCGCCAUGGCGCAUUAAGGCCCUUGUCUCCGCCUCCAGCCUCCGAGCCCUGGACUCUUCCUCGGUCCUUCGACCCAGUGUCUCCACCGUGGCCUGGCAUCCCACCUGCUCCACCGGGCUCCCUCGUCCCUCUGGCUCCACCUUGGUCAGUCGUCGACCAUCCGCCGCCUCGGGACUCCACUCCUCUGGUUCCACCUCGUCACUCCAUCCAUCCGGCUCUGUCAGGCUCCUCCUUCCCUCCGGUUCCACCUCCAUCCUCGGUCGCUCCGGCUCCACAGCGGUCUGCCAGGACCCCGCCUCCGCCUUGGUCGCCUGAGCCUUCUGCUCCACCUAGGCCCUCCGGAUCCUCGACGUCACCCUGGCUCUGAGGCUGUGCUGCUCCAUCUUGGGCUCCUCACCCACCGGUGCAGUCUCCGCCUGUUGGCCCCCUGGUGUCGUCGACCCCUCCUUCGCCAUGGCUCCUCCCGCCGUCAACUACACCAUGGAUCUCCGUCCUGGCUGGUCUCUGGUGGACCAUCUGGCUCCUCCUGCUCCGGGCUCCUCCCUGGCUCCUCCCUCCAUCCACUCCGCCCUGGUCCCUACCUGCAUGCUCCCUCGUCACCUGCUCUUGGCCUGCUCCUCACCCGCCUC
This 1102-nucleotide long non-coding RNA is filed under the name Carassius auratus (goldfish). RNAcentral's name for it is "lncRNA (ENSCARG00000057562.1)". The record is from RNAcentral. Lineage: Eukaryota; Metazoa; Chordata; Actinopteri; Cypriniformes; Cyprinidae.